Molecule: ribosomal RNA, 487 nt
Filed under: uncultured bacterium
Lineage: Bacteria
Description: partial 16S ribosomal RNA
Rfam family: Bacterial small subunit ribosomal RNA
Source: RNAcentral
GAUGAACGCUAGCGAUAGGCUUAACACAUGCAAGUCGAGGGGCAGCACAAGGUAGCUUGCUAUCUGGGUGGCGACCGGCGCACGGGUGCGUAACGCGUAUGCAACUUGCCCUAUACAGGAGGAUAACCCGUCGAAAGACGGACUAAUACUGCGUAUGCUCACAACUUGGCAUCAAGUGGUGAGGAAAGAAAUUCGGUAUAGGAUAGGCAUGCGUCCCAUUAGCUUGUUGGUGAGGUAACGGCUCACCAAGGCAACGAUGGGUAGGGGAACUGAGAGGUUUAUCCCCCACACUGGGACUGAGACACGGACCAGACUCCUACGGGAGGCAGCAGUGAGGAAUAUUGGUCAAUGGGCGCGAGCCUGAACCAGCCAAGUCGCGUGAAGGAUGACUGUCUUAUGGAUUGUAAACUUCUGUUAGACGGGAAUAACAAGAGUCACGUGUGACUCCCUGCAUGUACCGUAUGAAUAAGCAUCGGCUAACUCCGUG